RNAcentral lists this ribosomal RNA (440 nucleotides) under uncultured bacterium. RNAcentral's name for it is "partial 16S ribosomal RNA". It matches the Rfam family "Bacterial small subunit ribosomal RNA", at positions 338 to 795 of the family's 1533-position model. The record is from RNAcentral.
CCUACGGGAGGCAGCAGUGGGGAAUAUUGCACAAUGGGGGAAACCCUGAUGCAGCGACGCCGCGUGAGCGAUGAAGUAUUUCGGUAUGUAAAGCUCUAUCAGCAGGGAAGAAAAUGACGGUACCUGACUAAGAAGCCCCGGCUAACUACGUGCCAGCAGCCGCGGUAAUACGUAGGGGGCAAGCGUUAUCCGGAUUUACUGGGUGUAAAGGGAGCGUAGACGGCUGUGCAAGCCAGCUGUGAAAGCCCGGGGCUCAACCCCGGGACUGCAGUUGGAACUGUGUGGCUGGAGUGGCGGAGAGGCAGGCGGAAGUCCUAGUGUAGCGGUGAAAUGCGUAGAUAUGAGGAGGAACACCAGUGGCGAAGGCGGCCUGCUGGACGAGGACUGACGUUGAGGCUCGAAAGCGUGGGGAGCAAACAGGAUUAGAUACCCGAGUAGUC